UUAAAAUCAAUUUUUUUUCCAUUGUUUUAUAUACUUAUCAAUAAAUCUAGAUAAUGAUGAGACACAUCAAUAUAAUACUUAGUUUUGAGCGUACAAUAUCAAAUAAUGUAGUUAUCAACCUCCUACUCACAGUAUUUUCACCU
This is a long non-coding RNA of Maniola jurtina (meadow brown), 143 nucleotides long. RefSeq lists it as uncharacterized. Lineage: Eukaryota; Metazoa; Arthropoda; Insecta; Lepidoptera; Nymphalidae. The record is from RefSeq and is a predicted model, not a curated record. The transcript has 3 exons.